Molecule: ribosomal RNA, 424 nt
Filed under: uncultured bacterium
Lineage: Bacteria
Description: bacterial SSU rRNA
Rfam family: Bacterial small subunit ribosomal RNA
Source: RNAcentral
UGGGGAAUAUUGGACAAUGGGCGCAAGCCUGAUCCAGCCAUGCCGCGUGGAUGAUGAAGGCCUUAGGGUUGUAAAGUCCUUUCGACGGGGAAGAUAAUGACGGUACCCGUAGAAGAAGCCCCGGCUAACUUCGUGCCAGCAGCCGCGGUAAUACGAAGGGGGCUAGCGUUGCUCGGAAUCACUGGGCGUAAAGCGCACGUAGGCGGCUUUUUAAGUCAGAGGUGAAAUCCUGGAGCUCAACUCCAGAACUGCCUUUGAUACUGAGAAGCUUGAGUCCGGGAGAGGUGAGUGGAACUGCGAGUGUAGAGGUGAAAUUCGUAGAUAUUCGCAAGAACACCAGUGGCGAAGGCGGCUCACUGGCCCGGUACUGACGCUGAGGUGCGAAAGCGUGGGGAGCAAACAGGAUUAGAUACCCCCGUAGUCC